Molecule: ribosomal RNA, 253 nt
Filed under: uncultured bacterium
Lineage: Bacteria
Description: partial 16S ribosomal RNA
Rfam family: Bacterial small subunit ribosomal RNA
Source: RNAcentral
UACGAAGGGGGCUAGCGUUGCUCGGAAUCACUGGGCGUAAAGGGUGCGUAGGCGGGUCUUUAAGUCAGGGGUGAAAUCCUGGAGCUCAACUCCAGAACUGCCUUUGAUACUGAGGAUCUUGAGUACGGGAGAGGUGAGUGGAACUGCGAGUGUAGAGGUGAAAUUCGUAGAUAUUCGCAAGAACACCAGUGGCGAAGGCGGCUCACUGGCCCGGCAUUGACGCUGAGGAGCGAAAGCCAGGGGAGCAAACGGG